AUUGAACGCUGGCGGCAGGCCUAACACAUGCAAGUCGAGCGGUAACACAGAGGAGCUUGCUCCUUGGGCGACGAGCGGCGGACGGGUGAGUAAUGCCUGGGGAUCUGCCCGAUAGAGGGGGAUAACUACGGGAAACUGUAGCUAAUACCGCAUAACGUCUACGGACCAAAGUGGGGGCUCUUCGGACCUCAUGCUAUCGGAUGAACCCAGGUGGGAUUAGCUAGUUGGUGAGGUAAUGGCUCACCAAGGCGACGAUCUCUAACUGGUUUGAGAGAAUGACCAGUCACACUGGAACUGAGACACGGUCCAGACUCCUACGGGAGGCAGCAGUGGGGAAUAUUGCACAAGGGGCGCAAGCCUGAUGCAGCCAUGCCGCGUGUGUGAAGAAGGCCUUCGGGUUGUAAAGCACUUUCAGCGGGGAGGAAGGGUCACUAGUUAAUACCUAGUGGCAUUGACGUUACUCGCAGAAGAAGCACCGGCUAACUCCGUGCCAGCCGCCGCAGUAA
RNAcentral lists this ribosomal RNA (506 nucleotides) under uncultured bacterium. Its description in RNAcentral is "partial 16S ribosomal RNA". It matches the Rfam family "Bacterial small subunit ribosomal RNA", at positions 30 to 523 of the family's 1533-position model. The record is from RNAcentral.